Molecule: ribosomal RNA, 305 nt
Filed under: uncultured bacterium
Lineage: Bacteria
Description: bacterial SSU rRNA
Rfam family: Bacterial small subunit ribosomal RNA
Source: RNAcentral
CUUCCUACGGGGGGCAGCAGUGAGGAAUAUUGGUCAAUGGCCGCAGGGCUGAACCAGCCAAGUCGCGUGAGGGAUGACGGUCCUAUGGAUUGUAAACCUCUUUUGUCAGGGAGCAAAGGGCGCCACGUGUGGCGUUUUGCGAGUACCUGAAGAAAAAGCAUCGGCUAACUCCGUGCCAGCAGCCGCGGCAAUACGGAGGAUGCGAGCGUUAUCCGGAUUUAUUGGGUUUAAAGGGUGCGUAGGCGGGCUUUUAAGUCAGCGGUAAAAAUUCGGGGCUCAACCCCGUCCGGCCGUUGAAACUGGGG